AUACGGAGGGUGCGAGCGUUACUCGGAGUCACUGGGCGUAAAGCGUCCGUAGGCGGUCGGGUAAGUCGGGUGUGAAAGCCCCGGGCUCAACCUGGGAAGUGCACCUGAUACUGCUCGACUCGAGUGCGGGAGAGGAUGGCGGAAUUCCCGGUGUAGCGGUGAAAUGCGUAGAGAUCGGGAGGAACACCAGUGGCGAAGGCGGCCAUCUGGCCCGCAACUGACGCUGAGGGACGAAAGCGUGGGGAGCAAACAGGAUUAGAUACCCUAGUAGUCC
RNAcentral lists this ribosomal RNA (274 nucleotides) under uncultured bacterium. RNAcentral describes it as "partial 16S ribosomal RNA". It matches the Rfam family "Bacterial small subunit ribosomal RNA", at positions 523 to 796 of the family's 1533-position model. The record is from RNAcentral.